This 2090-nucleotide long non-coding RNA is filed under the name Homo sapiens (human). Its description in RNAcentral is "HSALNT0108298". Lineage: Eukaryota; Metazoa; Chordata; Mammalia; Primates; Hominidae. The record is from RNAcentral.
CUGUUUUUAUUUUUUAGAUAUUUACUAAUUUGUUAUGUACUUAAUCCCUCAGUUUCUAGUAAAAGCAUGUUAAACCCCUAUACUAUGAUUGCGAUUUGCAGAGUUUCUCCUUGUUAUUCUUCGUGGUCUAAUUGUCUUGGAUAAUUCUUCCUAUCAGUUAGGGUGUGAUCAGAAAAUCAGGAAGACUUUGAGUAAUGUUGAGGAAGGGAUUUAUUAUAAGGGUUGGACCAUAAACAACUGUGGGCUCUGGCUAAACUGUCUGUGCUGCUGCUUGUCUGGGGCUGCACCUAAAGGCAGCAGGGCCAACAGGAAGGAAAGUGGACAUGAAAUGGGGAGAGCAGGAAUAAGCCAGAAGCUGUGAGAAGACAAUGAAAACUCAGAGGACACACUGGAAACUGUGUCUGUCUCACUGCCUUCAGGCCUCCACAUUUGAUGAUAUUAAUCACCUGUAGGGGAAGCUGAAGCCCUUUGCCACAGAGCUGCACAUGUUGGUGCAGAAGUCACAGAAGCUGUGGGAAGAGGUCCAGCAAGAGUCACAGGAGCUCUGGGACCAGCUGCUGCCCCAGGUGCUGCAACAGCUGAGCUGCAGAGCACAAAUAUGGUUGUUACUUAACUCCUGCCUUCCAAAUUUCAUGCAAAUUUCUAUUGAGGCCCGCCCUAAUCUGGAAGCAUACAGGGAUGGGGAUUCUGGAAAGUCUAGUUUCAGAUUAGCUAGAAUGACUGCACAAAGCCAACACAGUUUCCCUCACUAUUUAGUUUCUUUCUUUAUUCUUUUAAAUGCUUUUAGCCUUUAACUAUUCUGUUCGAUAUUAAUGUUCUUACACUACUUUCUUUUGUUUAGGUUUUGCUUCAUAGAAGUUUCUCAUCCCUUUAUUUAACUUUCUAUUUGUAUUAGACAUGAAAAUCCAUGGCUCAUAUCUCCUGCUCAGGGAACAUAAUCAACCAGGUGUCCCAGCUGCUGUUCUUCUGGGUCCGCCACUGUGUUCAUGUUAAGGCCACAUUUCCCACAGGCUACUCAAGCAGCAACUGAGCAUAACAGGACAACUAAUGCAGGUCCAUUUCUGGAACACAUGGAACUCCACAACCAGAGGGGUCAGACCUUCAUGACAGGCUGAAGAGUUCCUUCUCCUCUUCUCCCUUUUACUUUACAAACAUUUCUCCAAUAAAUUUCUUACACAUCUAAUUUUGUCUCUUCUUGGUGUCUGCUUCUUGGAGAACCUGAACUAAUGCACUGUGUAUGUGUCACUUGUAAAGCAUGUUUUAAGAGGUCUAUGUUUAAUUUUAUUUUAAUCUGACAAAUUUUUCUUUUAAUGGAUGAGUUUAAUCUCAUGUUCUCUACUUGUGGUAUAUGAUAUGUUUAGUUUCACUAUUAUAUUGUUUUCUCUUUGCCAGCCUACUUCUUUACCUUUAGUUUUCCCCUUUCAUGUUUUCAAUUUGACUGCUUAAAUCCUAACAGGAAAAGCAUGGGCUACUACAAUAACAAAGCUUAAACUAUAAGUGGCUUCAAUUCAAAGUUAUUUCUCACCCAUUUUGUAUGAUCAUUGUACAUUGGCUUAUUUAGUCUCUCAGAAACCCAAACCGAUGAAGGCUCCAUCUCAACACACACUUUCCUAAGAAAGGCAAAUAAAAGAGAAUAUGCCAAACACUCACUGGCUCUUCAAGCUUCCAUCUAGAAGUGACACACGGCACUUCCACCUCCAUUGACUACAAGUAGUUACUUGGCCACUAAAUUCAAGUAUUGUAGUUACCUGAAUACCUAAAUUCAAAUGGGCAAGGAAAUGCAAUGCUAUCAUGUGCCCAGGUAGAAAAGGAUAUUUGUGUAUAGUCCUAUUGAAUACCUUUAUUCCCCUCUGUUGGGUUGAAAACCAUACAAUAUAUUCUUAUGCUUUUAAUGGUUGUUCUUAAAUAUGCUUUAAACCUAUCUACUUAACUACACAGUUGGCCUCCAUAUCUGUGGGUUCCGCAUCUGUGGAUUCAACGAAGCAUGAAUUGAAAAUACUUGAGAAAAAGACAUCUGUACUGAACAUGUGCAGAGUUUUUCUUGUCGUUAUUCUCCAAAACAAUAGAGUAAAACAAGUAUUUACAUAGCA